GCAGGCCAACGCUUGAAUACAUUAGCAUGGAAUAAUGAAAUAGGACAUCCGAUUCUAUUUUGUUGGUUUCUAGGAUCGAUGUAAUGAUUAAUAGGGAUAGUUGGGGGCAUUAGUAUUCAAUUGUCAGAGGUGAAAUUCUUGGAUUUAUUGAAGACUAACUACUGCGAAAGCAUUUGCCAAGGAUGUUUUCAUUAAUCAAGAACGAAAGUUAGGGGAUCGAAGACGAUCAGAUACCGUCGUAGUCUUAACCAUAAACUAUGCCGACUAGGGAUCGGAUGAUGUUAAUUUUUUAAUGACUCAUUCGGCGCCUUACGGGAAACCAAAGUGUUUGGGUUCCGGGGGGAGUAUGGUCGCAAGGCUGAAACUUAAAGGAAUUGACGGAAGGGCACCACCAGGGGUGGAGCCUGCG
RNAcentral lists this ribosomal RNA (409 nucleotides) under uncultured Glomus. Its description in RNAcentral is "SSU rRNA". It matches the Rfam family "Eukaryotic small subunit ribosomal RNA", at positions 780 to 1187 of the family's 1831-position model. Lineage: Eukaryota; Fungi; Glomeromycota; Glomeromycetes; Glomerales; Glomeraceae. The record is from RNAcentral.